Long non-coding RNA from Clupea harengus (Atlantic herring), 3615 nucleotides. The record is from Ensembl. NCBI's taxonomy places the organism in Eukaryota, Metazoa, Chordata, Actinopteri, Clupeiformes, Clupeidae.
GAGGGGUCUAUGAUGGGUACGGAGUUCCCGCCUCUGGAUCCCCGCACGCGAAUAUGUGAUGAGCUGGGCUUUAAAUAAAGCCGUGCGUACAGCGACAUCGCGUUCUCUGGUCUUCGAGCUGCCCUCCUGCUGCUGCUCGACCUUGCAUCCUCUCCUCCGGUCUUUCAGAGACUCACAGGCUUCUGUUUUUCUUCGUGUCUAAUCUCGCGCAACCAUGCCAAGCAAGAGGAAGAAGAAUAAGCGCCGCAUGAGGAGAGUGCAGUUGCAGAGGCGGGCACUAGAGGAACAGUAUGCCGCCGCAGCUAAAGGAACUCCUGCGCUCAGGGCAGUCUCUGCCCCGGGCGCCGUCCCCGUUGUUGCCAAACCCGUCAAGGCGCCCAAACCCCCCGUUGCUACCUUCAAACCAAAGCAGCCCAAAGCCCCCGCCCCAGUUAUUGUCCCCCAAAUUCCAGAGGUGUCUGCAUGCCCCCCAGUUGAACCCCCAACCGUCGCUCCUACGCUCCCAGAGCUUGUCCCAGAGCUUGUCCCAGAGGUUCCUAUUGAGGCGGCUCCUGUAGUAGAAGUCCCAGAGGUCUCAGAGGUUUCCCCAGUGGAAGCACCUGCGCCUGAGCCAGAGCCAGAGCCCGCUACAAUCCCAGAACUCGCCCCAGUAGAGCCGGAAGAACUGCUCAAAGAACCAGAAGCAGUCGCGGAACCAGAAGCAGUCGUGGAACCAGAAGCAGUCAAAGAAUCGGAACCAGAAGUGGUGCCAGAACCAGAAGUGGUGUCGGAACCAGAAGUGGUACCAGAACCAGUCGAGGCUGAACCAGAACCGGUUCCGGAACCUGAAGUGGUGGCGGCAGCAGAACCAGUCGAGACUGAACCAGAACCGGUUCCAGAACCUGAAGUGGUGAAGGCAGCAGAAGCAGUUCAUGUCGCAGAGGAAGUGUCGGUCGUAGAGGAAGUGUCGGUCGCAGAGGAAGAGUUGUUCGCAGAGGAAGAGUGGAAGCCCGUUAAAUGCCCGGCAGGGUUGCCAGCAGAUGUCCUUUCAGUCGCGUUGGAAGACCCCAUUAUCCCAGCCCCUGCACCAGAGGGCGAGACACAAGCUGCCCCCAGCGAAGACGCAGUUGUCCAGGAAACCAUCGAGGUUUGUGAAGACGCAGUUGUCCAGGAGACCAUCGAGACAUCAGAAGUGGACGGUGUGGCAUGGGCGCCCGCUGUCGAAGCACCAGAAGAGAUCGUACCUGAACCCAGUGUUGAAGAAGAACAAAAGUCCGUAUCGGAGCCCGUUGACGUGUUAGCUGAGCCUGCACCUGAGCCUGCAGAUGAAGCCCAAACCCUUUCAGAAAAUGCAGUCGAACCAGUUUCGGCUGACGCCGAGGUGGUGGAACCCGAGGCUGUGGCCAUGCCUGAGCAAGAGUCGCCUGAAGACGCAGAUGAAGCUGUGAUUGCACAACCUGAGGUCGAAGAAGCCAUGGUGAAGACUGUGAGUGAAGAACCAGAGGUGGUGGAGGUGGUGGAGGUGGUGGUGGCCCCCGCAGAGACCGUGGAAGCUGAGCAGGUUCCUGAGGUGACUCCUGCUGCUCCAGAGCCAGAGCCAGAGGUGUGCCCAGAUGUUCCAGCCCAGAUUGAGGAGGCUGUUGCGGCUGAGGCUGCCCCUGUUGCCCCUGUCGUCGAGCCUGAGGUUGCCGCGGCUGAACCCGUGACCCCUGACACCAUGGCUGAGGACUUUGUUGUGACCGAAUCUGCGGUUGCUGUGGAGGCGGCCAUGUCUGUACCUGCUGAGGAGCCUGCUCCAGUUGCCAUCAUUGCUGAGACCCUGGUCCUGCCAGAGGUGGAGGUGGAGGUGGAGCCCAUCGCUGAACCCACCCCUCUGUCAACCAACGAAGUCAUCAAGGUUAAAGAGGAAAUUGUGACUGAAGUGGAGAUUGAAACAAAAAUGGUAGUGGAGGCUCUGAAUGGACACGUAACACCAGAAGUGGCUAUUGAGAGCUAAACAUAAUGUGUGCACAAAGGGACUCCGAAAAACAUCUCCGUUCAAAGUGCCUUUUUCCUGUAUGGGCUCUCAAAUCUUUUGGAUGUGGAGCGUAGAUUCAGACAGAUGUCAUGAUUUUCAUGUGAAUACUGGCUCUUUUUGAUUGGCGUCCAUAUCUUCAUGCAUAUUUGCAGACACUGUAAUACGCAUACACGGAGCUGUUUUGGUGAAAUCUCACAAUUUAUAUGUUCAUAUUUGGACCAUUUUUGUAUUGAAAAGUUUUUUUUUUAUUUUGCCUUCUCUUUUCCUUUUUUGUAAAAACAGUUUGGACUGUAGAGCUGCCUCCCAAGGCUCCUGUUUACUAUUUCAGAUGGUGCCUUUUUCCUUAAGUUUGAAUGGAUUUCACUGGAGGAGCCCUUUCUGUGUGUGUGUAUGUGUGUGUGUCUGUGCUGUGCGCCUCUUGUUAUGACUGCAAGUGUCCCGCAUCAGCGCGGCACACUGGAGAAAGUGCAUCCGUUCUCUGGACAGGGCUGUAGUCCGGCAGGGCUGCAGAGGUUGGACUCUCAGGCCACACGUGUUGUCUUUUCCUCCUGCCUUUUGUAAACAAGUCUAUUUGGUACAAGAUGGCUGCUGGAAGCCAUGGUCCACCGCAGAUGGAGCUUUUAACGGUUCUUUCACUCUCAAUAAAGAAAUCGAACUCACCAUGACCCCUCUGGCUGACUCUCAUUCAUUCAGGCUUAACUUCAAAGGAACGGGAUUUAGCAGAAGCUCUUAUGCAAAGUUACUUACAAAUCUCAUCGAAGGUUUAGUGUCUAUAACACUUACAAAUCUUAUCGAAGGUUUAGCCUCUCAAUAACAAAAACAAUAUCUAAUGCAUUCAUGAUUGUAACAUAGUAAUUAUAGCCGUGACUCGGGAGGGCUCUUGCUCCGUGAUGUAUCGUGUUCAAAUUAUGCAACCACAUCUGUUGUGUGUAAACUCAGAGUUUUAGACAUUGGCAGAACUAUCUUCCUGUUUCCAGAUAGUGGCACUAACUUGGAGACAGUUUCCACAUUCAUAUGGCAAUGUGCAAAUAGUCUAGUGAUCAUUUGAUGAAUCGCCACACUUCUCUUGUGCUAUAGUACUACUAUAUCAAGAGUUUAGAUGGUUCAACAUGCUUGCAUCACGGAGGCCAAAUUCUUUACGCAUGUGAUAUUAUCUAGCGUUGCAUGCAUGGUUACUUUAGAUCUGUCUGGUAAAGUUCAUGAGUUUGUUAACAUUAGAAGCAUCACUUUUUUGUGUAUGGAAUACUGCUAUAAGCAGACAUAAGUCAUAAUGCGCAAUGUCUAAAAUAUUUUGUGCAGUCUAAACCUCAUGAGUGGGUUUUGUGAUGCAAUACUAUCCACUGCAUUGAUUACAUAGCCAUGGCAACAUCUGAUGACAUAUGAGGAAUAUUGGUGAUUUUAAACUUUAAACUGUAAUUGGUGCAAUUCAUAUGACUUGUGAUGUUGGAGAAAGAACUGUACAUUUACUUUACAUGAGUGGGCUAUAAGUUAUGCAUUUCAAACAUUAGAAGAAUUUGUUUGUGUGUGUGUGGAAUACAUUCACAAAUUACUGCUCAAUUUCCAAAAUAUUUUGUGCAGUUUAAACUUUGAGCAUAUGGAUAUCAUAACUCAUAACCUUU